UCGAGGUGGCCGACCAUCUAGGGAUGUCUGUGGGCUAUUGAAAAGUCUUAAACUGGAGUUGAACCAAUUAAGGUCUUAAAAAUUCAGAAAUUUGAGUUUACUAUGUUUUAAAUUUUGAAGUCGAACAUAUUUUAGUCCGAUGAAAAAUGUAUUUUUAAGUUGAAAUGUGACUGACUCUUAAGCAGUAUACUACGAAUUAACUCGAUGUAGCGGAUUACUUGGGAGUUCAUUUUCAGUACAGUGAGUGUCCGGGUUAAUAACGUGCGACUGACGGACAACUCGUACUUACAAAUUGACGGACAUGGGGCCCAAUAUAUUAAGAAUUUGACUCGGAUAUAAAAGUUCAUAAUGCACACACGCACUAUUUUGUGACGCCCGUAAGAACAUUGCGCGGCCUCAGCGGUUCGUGUAAACGUUAAGUCGUGAAGGCCGCUGCCAGCAUGCAAGACGGCGAUGGAGCUAGGAUUCCACUUCAAGACGGACCUACGAACCUUCGUAACCCGGGACCUGCCUUGCACUAUAUGAAAGAGCCAGCGUGGCAUGUUGGGAACGAUGCAAAGUAGAAUCCUCUUCUGAGUAUUUUAUUGGUCGACUGGGAGAGGAAUCCAGUAGGUAUCGAUGACAACUUCCUGCCAGUUUCUUGCUGGGAUAACCAACUUCCUGUUUAAUGGUGGUCGGCAAACACAAUGGAGCAAUCGGGGUUGUUCUUCGGCUGUUCUCUCAACAAUCUUCCAAAAAUGACCAUGGCACAUGUUACACGGUCAAUGGAAAGCCGCAUAUCAUCGAAAACACUUGAACGGGGGCACAAAAAUUUUCAUGAAAAUUCUUUUCAAAGGUGACGGUCACUUUACGGAUUGAGCCUGUGCAGUUAAACAGCAUGUUAUGCUCAUGCACUGCAGGGAAAGCACUGUGCGCCGACCUGCUCGCCUUGCUUUUCCAGUGUGCACAUGGUAGUAUGAUGAAAAUGCAGACAGCCCCAUCAAGAGUGCCUGUACUAACUCUCUGCAGACCUGACGUCGGCUAAGGACCUGGGCAGGUGGCAAGAAACUGCUUGUGAAUAAUCUUCUGAACCUGGACGAAGCCAGGAGUAUUGCGAUACAUCAGAACGAUGGGAAAUGGAAAAUUCGUCUUGUCGGUUAAGAAGAAUAAAUUGGCAGGAAGCGUAACCAAGGGAACACAGCAGACUGAAGCAAUGAAGAGGCCUUGAACUUGAACCAGCAGUUUUGGAGCAGAACUCUGAAUUCUGUCAUAUUCAUGUGUUGCCUUGCGGAUCUGUUAUUCAUCUAGAUGCUCUUCAUCUUGGUGGAUGCCCCGACGCAAAAGCGUUUGAUCCAUCUGAAAAUACAUGCUCAACAACGGUCAAUAUGCAUGCCAAAAUACUCAGAAGACCGUCUCAGAAGGAAAACUGAAAGUCCACAUCAGAUGCAUAAAAUCAGUUGAUCUGCAAUGGUGACACUGAGUUUCGCCAGUUCUGUUUACAGCUUGUUGAUAGUUUCCUCUAGCACUUGUGCUUUAAGGGAAACAGAAUCUGUGCACCUGUUGAAUGCAAAAAUUCUACAUGAUGAAAAUGAACCCACACGUACUAAUCAAAAACCAAAGACAAUUUCAUUACAAAGUCAGAGUCAAUAUAUUCAUUACAGACGCUUCUCUACUUAUGAAUGAGAUACGGCUGUUCAUAACUUGAAAUGUUCAUAAGUCGUCAUUCAACAUCAUUUUAAGGGUAUACAGAAGUACAUAGAACUAGGAUGUUGGGAGUAGGCACGCUACGCUGCUGCACGCGGGAGUAGCGGCCAGAAGUCAUUCUACCUGGAAUUGGCUCGCAAAAAAAAAAUGGAUGUUGCGGACAGGAAAAGGGAGCCGAAUGAACACAAUUUGGACUUGCAGUGCUCUUCGUUCGUAUAUCUGAAAGUUCGUAAGUUGAAACUUCGUAAGUAGAGAACUUCUUAAUAUUGUAAAUUGUCUGUAUGAAUUUGGGAUGAAACUUGCCAAGUUGUUCGAAUAUUAAGCAGUGUAGUUGCACACAGUUAAUGGAUAAAACAAUAAAAAUUCUGUGACUGAGUACAAGUAUUAAA
This is a long non-coding RNA of Brienomyrus brachyistius, 2072 nucleotides long. RefSeq lists it as uncharacterized. Lineage: Eukaryota; Metazoa; Chordata; Actinopteri; Osteoglossiformes; Mormyridae. The record is from RefSeq and is a predicted model, not a curated record. The transcript is spliced from 5 exons.